AAAAAACCUUUGAUAAGAAGUUAAUGCAGCCUGGGCAACAUGUUUCCUGGUUGAAGGAUUAAUUAUCUGCUACCUGAUCUAAAGUUGAUAAAUGAAAAACAUCAGUAUUAACACAUGACAUGGAAAAAACACCAGAGGAGAAAAAACCACCAAAGGAAGAAAAACAAAAACUGUGAACAGUGAUGUCUCACCGGGGGUGGGAGCACAGCAGCAGACAUUUGUCAAAACUCACCCAACUCUAUAAUUUAAAUGUGUACAUUUUAUGGUAUAUAAAUGAUUCCUCAAUAAAGUUGAUUAAUCCAAA
RNAcentral lists this long non-coding RNA (304 nucleotides) under Homo sapiens (human). RNAcentral's name for it is "non-protein coding LINC02204:25". Lineage: Eukaryota; Metazoa; Chordata; Mammalia; Primates; Hominidae. The record is from RNAcentral.